AUUGAACGCUGGCGGCAGGCCUAACACAUGCAAGUCGAGCGGAUGAAGGGAGCUUGCUCCUGGAUUCAGCGGCGGACGGGUGAGUAAUGCCUAGGAAUCUGCCUGGUAGUGGGGGAUAACGUCCGGAAAAGGGCGCUAAUACCGCAUACGUCCUGAGGGAGAAAGUGGGGGAUCUUCGGACCUCACGCUAUCAGAUGAGCCUAGGUCGGAUUAGCUAGUUGGUGGGGUAAAGGCCUACCAAGGCGACGAUCCGUAACUGGUCUGAGAGGAUGAUCAGUCACACUGGAACGGAGACACGGUCCAGACUCCUACGAGAGGCAGCAGUGGGGAAUAUUGGACAAUGGGCGAAAGCCUGAUCCAGCCGUGCCGCGUGUGUGAAGAAGGUCUUCGGAUUGUAAAGCACUUUAAGUUGGGAGGAAGGGCAGUAAGUUAAGACCUUGCUGUUUUGACGUUACCAACAGAAUAAGCACCGGCUAACUUCGUG
This 484-nucleotide ribosomal RNA is filed under the name uncultured bacterium. RNAcentral's name for it is "partial 16S ribosomal RNA". It matches the Rfam family "Bacterial small subunit ribosomal RNA", at positions 30 to 507 of the family's 1533-position model. The record is from RNAcentral.